RNAcentral lists this ribosomal RNA (468 nucleotides) under uncultured bacterium. RNAcentral describes it as "partial 16S ribosomal RNA". It matches the Rfam family "Bacterial small subunit ribosomal RNA", at positions 28 to 507 of the family's 1533-position model. The record is from RNAcentral.
GACGAACGCUGGCGGCGUGCUUAACACAUGCAAGUCGAACGGAAAGGCCCUGCUUUUGUGUGGUGCUCGAGUGGCGAACGGGUGAGUAACACGUGAGUAACCUGCCCUUGACUUUGGGAUAACUUCAGGAAACUGGGGCUAAUACCGGAUAGGAGCUCCUGCUGCAUGGUGGGGGUUGGAAAGUUUCGGCGGUUGGGGAUGGACUCGCGGCUUAUCAGCUUGUUGGUGGGGUAGUGGCUUACCAAGGCUUGGACGGGUAGCCGGCCUGAGAGGGUGACCGGCCACAUUGGGACUGAGAUACGGCCCAGACUCCUACGGGAGGCAGCAGUGGGGAAUAUUGCACAAUGGGCGGAAGCCUGAUGCAGCAACGCCGCGUGCGGGAUGACGGCCUUCGGGUUGUAAACCGCUUUCGCCUGUGACGAAGCGUGAAUGACGGUAAUGGGUAAAGAAGCACCGGCUAACUACGUG